GAGGGUGUAGCUCAGUGGUAGAGCACGUGUUUAGCAUGCAUGAGGUCCAGGGUUCAAUCUCCAGUAUCUCCG
Molecule: transfer RNA, 72 nt
Organism: Camelus ferus (Wild Bactrian camel)
Lineage: Eukaryota; Metazoa; Chordata; Mammalia; Artiodactyla; Camelidae
Rfam family: tRNA
About the family: Transfer RNA (tRNA) molecules are approximately 80 nucleotides in length.
Source: Rfam